Molecule: non-coding RNA, 3404 nt
Organism: Lolium perenne
Lineage: Eukaryota; Viridiplantae; Streptophyta; Magnoliopsida; Poales; Poaceae
Source: RefSeq, a predicted model, not a curated record
AGAGGGGCAAACGUUCGUCCAUCGUUGGAUUGGCACGCACAGUAAAUUCAUCUCCCGCUUUUCACCACAUUCGUCCGAUGCAGUAAUUUUUUGUUCACUCGUUUUCCUUCCAAAUAGGUCAAUGACAUGUGGGACUGAAUAAGUGCGGGUCCAGCGGCCAGAGGCAGCCACGCACGAUUGUUUGUGUCGCCUUCAUUCUCCUAUCCGCGGGGCAGCGGUGAAAACCUAGAUCGCGAGCCCCCCAGUCCCGUGCUCGCCUCCACCUCCCCAAUCCCCGGCCCCUCCUCUCCUCACAACACGAGCCGCCAAUCUCCUCCGCCGCCUCGGCACGCCCGUUCCUCCGGGCUUCUGCAAGAGCUCGUCGCGGAGGCGGCCGGCAGCGCGGGCCCGGGAGCAGCCGCGGGGCGCUGGAGCGCCGGCAGGUGACGGUCUCGGCCGGUCGCGGGUGUCGCCGCGUGGAUGCCGCGUCAGUGGUCGCCGCGGCACCUCCUCCAGGCGACAAUCGGUCGCGUGCGUCGUCGUGCGAUGAGGAGGUGGGCGGGCGCCGCCUCGGUUCGCUCGCCGGAGGAGGUACUGGAUCUGCGUGCACCGCGACAUGCUUCUGGGCUCCCUCGCCGGAGCACGCGCCGUCGACCUUGCCUCGUCACGUCGCCCCACCAUCCGCACGCAGCAGGAUCCGGAGGAGGUGACCAAUUUCCUGCCGUCGGUGCCCGCUAGAUCCGGUCGUCGCAGCCAGGAGAAGAACAUGCUGGCCGCCAGAACUCCUUCCCCACGUCCUCUUCCAAGACGCCGCCCCGACGCGCAACCAGGCCGGCGCACCAACGGGAAGAAGGACGCGACCUGCGUUCAUGUUAAUGGACAGUAGCCGAGGGAAGUUCUGCGGUGGGAUUGACAUUGCUUCUGCAGUUGGUCAAUCUUCCACUAAUCAAGAUCAUCUCCAGCCUUCCCCGCCACGCCUUGUCAGUUGCUUUAGCAGUUGGAGUACAAAAUAACAAGGUCACAUCUACGUCUCCGUUCUUUAUUCCUCAGUGCCAUCUCCGGAUGAUCUCUUCCGGUGAUUAUUUUCUUGUUUUCUCUCCAUGUAGGCUCUGACGAUCCCUGGAUCUGUUUUGUCAUGGAAUAUUUUCUUAUUGUACUUGCUUAUUUACUCCAGCGCUAUCAUUGAGUAAAUGUUUGAUUUUAUUUAUUUAUUUCAAUUCAUGCCUGUAUCUUUUGGUGGCAUUCCAAUUGAUGCAUAGAGUGAUACUUUUGUAUGAAUAAUGGCUCAGCCUGCGAAUCUUGAAUGAGUGUAGAUGUAUGCAGUUGUUCAUGCACAUGCCUGGGAUUCAGUGUUGGGUAGAUCGAUUAUUCUUUCUUGUCGUGGUAUGUUUGAUUGAAGUUACUGAAGUUGCAUCAUGGUUUACUAGCAGAGCAUGUUGUAACAUAAUUGGUAACUGUUGGCACUUUCAUGAACCCAUUACACCUCCUGGUGAAAUUACUUGAUAUGUUUGUGCAGCAUGAGAUUUGAAGGAAUAGGAUGAUUUGAUGUUGUUUUCUCUAUUUUUCAUUUAGGCUGUUACCUGCAAUGUUGGGCUCUUGUGUGUUACCUGCAAUGCUAGGCUCUUGUGAGAGCAUCCUUUCAUAUUUUCUCUUCUCUGGUAUGAUGAUGCUCCCCACUGUGUUCGAGUGGAUUGUGACGACGCUGGUGCUAUCGUGCCUCGUUGGUGCCGGUGGCCCGGGCUUCGCUUCUAUUAGUACAUCCUGAGUAGGGAAGAACACAUCGGCAUUCGGGUGGAUGGUGAUGGCGCUGGUACUGUCGUGAAUCAUCGGCGCCAGUGCCGAGGGAUUCACCAUCUACUACAGCCUGAGGCCGCUAUUCCAGUAAAGGAUUUGAUGUGCUAAAACAAUAAUGUGGAGAUACGUCAUAUGUCUGAUGAAAAAUAUAGCUAUAGCUAUUUUUUGUUUGUUUUAUCAGUGUCAUUUUAUGCUUCAGUUAGCUGAAAAAGAUAAUACAACGAGCAAUUUUCUACCAUGUGAUUAUAGCAUUGAUGUCAUAACGAGCAGGAUGUCUCUUGUGUACUAUGAAGAAUGCUACUUAUAUACUUGAUUUCUUCCAUUUCAGUGGUGGUAUGCUUAUGAUUUCUCCUUAUGAUUUCAGGCUUCGGCAACGACGAGCAUGUUCAGGCUAGACACUAGAAGAGUAUUGCAUACUCAGCUACUCCAAUCGUUUGGGCCUUUGGGAAUGGUGGACUCGAUUGCUGAAUCAGUAGUGCCAUGUCAUGCCCCCUAUAUUACCUUUGCCCAAAUCAAAGUGCAUAUAUUUCCACGAGACAGUUCAUGUUAAUGGACAGUAUCCAAGGGCAGUUCUGCGGUGGGAUUGACAGUUGCUUCUGCAGUUGGUCAAUCUUCCACUAAUCAAGAUCAUCUCCAGCCUUCCCCGCCACGCCUUGUCAGUUGCUUUAGCAGUUGGAGUACAAAAUAACAAGGGAUGUUGCCUUACUCUUCAGGGACGAUUCCUUCCUCUUCAGGUGGAGAGAAGUUGAGGUCUGGAAGAACCAUGGUGAUCUGCUGUGAUGCCAAGAGGAAGAAGGUGAUUGCUAGGCACGCGUGGAUCUGGAUGCGAUGGCCGGUGCUCUGUUGGGUAGGUGCUGGGCGCCCGUCGACCUGGAGGUGUGGAUGGUUUCCAGGAAGUGCGGCUAGGCAACCAGAUCGUUGGUGAAGGGGGAGGUGCAGGAGGGAGGUAGUGUGCCCUCUGAUCUCUGGUGACCUCCUGACCCUGGCGAAGCUCUGGACGAGGGGCGACGAGCUUCUGGCUAAGGGGACGACAGCCGGCUUCCGGGAUCGAUCGGACCUGGAACUAGCUGGGCGGAGGAGAAACAGCUGGAGGCCAGAGGGGGAGUCGCUGGCCGGAGAUGGUCGUUGGGCGGAGGAGAAACGGCAGGUCGCACGAUAGUAAAUAGCCCAUAUAGCAAUAAUAUGUUAAAUUCUACUAUGAUGGUGUUAAGGUAGAUAACUCAUAUACCUGGGAGCUAUAAAAUACAUAUAAAUAAGGCAAAGGGGUUAAAUAGAAAUUUAGGAUUUGGGCAUUCUAACUCCAAACCGUCCAGAUCUCCUGUAAGGUAGCCCCGUCCCCUGCUCUCAUGCCACUGUCAGGUGCUACCAAAUUAGAGCAGAGCAGCAGGUCCAUGGCUUAUGGCUUUGCUCAAAGAAGAUGGACCACCAAAACUGCAAAAAAAGUAGAACUACACAUUAUCGGUUUUCAACAUCCCUAUAUAGAGAAGCUUAGCCAAAGGAUAACACAGUAAUAUUAUUUCAUAUAUGUUAGUGUAUAUAAUUCCAAAAUUUGACUUUCAGUUUUCAGAUACCCUUCAUUUACAUUUUAUUUGUUCAGGUUUAUCUAAUUUUCAACUGUACCUCUACUCUAA